AAACCCUGAACAAGCAACGCCGCGUGAAGGACGAAGACCUCGGGUUGUAAACUCUGUCGGAGGGGACGAAAGCGGUCGAGGCUAAUAUCCUCGGCCGUUGAACGGUACCCUACGAGGAAGCCCCGGCUAACUCCGUGCCAGCAGCCGCGGUAAUACGGGGGGGCAAGCGUUGUUCGGAAUUACUGGGCGUAAAGGGCGCGUAGGCGGGCGGACAAGUCUCUCGUGAAAGCCCACGGCUCAACCGUGGAAUUGCGGGAGAUACUGUCUGUCUUGAGUCCGGGAGAGGAGGGUGGAAUUCCCAGUGUAGCGGUGAAAUGCGUAGAUAUUGGGAGGAACACCGGUGGCGAAGGCGGCUCUCUGGACCGGUACUGACGCUGAGGCGCGAAAGCUAGGGGAGCAAACGGGAUUAGAUACCCCGGUAGUCCUAGCCGUAAACGAUGAGCACUUGGUGUGGCGGGUAUCGACCCCCGCCGUGCCGAAGCUAACGCAUUAAGUGCUCCGCCUGGGGAGUACGGUCGCAAGGCUG
This 526-nucleotide ribosomal RNA is filed under the name uncultured Acidobacteriota bacterium. RNAcentral's name for it is "bacterial SSU rRNA". It matches the Rfam family "Bacterial small subunit ribosomal RNA", at positions 378 to 896 of the family's 1533-position model. The record is from RNAcentral. Lineage: Bacteria; Pseudomonadati; Acidobacteriota.